Molecule: long non-coding RNA, 351 nt
Organism: Oreochromis aureus
Lineage: Eukaryota; Metazoa; Chordata; Actinopteri; Cichliformes; Cichlidae
Source: Ensembl
GUAAGUGUUUCCUUCCUAAUUUAAUUUUUAUUUUUUAAAUUCUCUAUACAUUGCCUAAAUCUCCCUCCUUGUCUCACGACAAUGGUUGUGUCACUGGCUGAGUGCUACCGCUAGCAUUUCAUCACUGCACACAAACUCUAGAUAGUCACUGACAAGCACUGCUGAAGUAUCUGAUGGAAACAGAGGAUUGCAUUGAUGAGUGGUGAACAGGGGUCAGCACGGCACUCUGACAGGUCUGCAGCUAUGCAGCAGCAUUCAGCCGAAGGAGCUGCUGAUCGUCUUCUGCCGCUGCUCCAUUGAAAGUGUGCUGACAUACUGCAUCUGUGUGUGGUUCUCCAGCUGCACCACGGC